CGAGCUUGUAACCCAAGUGGGGACAUUAAGAUGGUUGGACACUGGUCGGGUUUCACCCGGUAGGUGCUGUUGCGCACACUACGUUGACUCGCCCGCUCCAAGUUGGGAGUUGGUCACAUUGUCCGGGCGUAGGCUUGGGCUGUGUUGAUCACUAUAAGCAACGAACACCUCCCGCUCUUGACAGUGGAAGGAUUACGAGUCAAUGUGCCCCAGUUCCAACUCAGCCUGGUGAGCCGAGUCAGUUGAACAACCACCUUUUU
Molecule: long non-coding RNA, 260 nt
Organism: Papaver somniferum (opium poppy)
Lineage: Eukaryota; Viridiplantae; Streptophyta; Magnoliopsida; Ranunculales; Papaveraceae
Exons: 2
Source: RefSeq, a predicted model, not a curated record